AUGGCGUCCCCCUCCGACGCUCACUCCGCCACGGGCGGCAGCGGCGCCGCCGCGGCUGCACGAUCAGAUCUGGGUGACUUUCUGGAAAAGUUGGAUCUGAACGACGAUGACUUUGCGGAUGUGGAGAUCGAUGAGGAUGAUCCUGAGAUUCAAGAGAGCGUCCGCUGGCUUGCCCUGGCUAGGGUUCAUACUAACAGGAAUUUUAGCCCUUCAGCCUUCUACAAGGACAUGAGGGCGGCAUGGAACCCUGCUCAGGAAAUAAGAUUUAGGCCUGUUGGCCCUAAUCGAUUCGUCGUCCAAGCGUGCUGUUUGGGGGACUGGGACCGCAUGAUGAAGCAAGGUCCCUGGCUCUUUCGUAACAUGGCGGUGCUUCUAUGCCCGUACGAUGGCUUCAACAAGACGGAGGAGGUGAAAUUCUUCCACAUCCCCAUCUGGCUGCAGAUUCACAAGCUCCCAGACCCUUACUGCAAGCAAAACAUCGUGGAAAAGCUGCUAAAGGAUGCGGGAGAAAUCAUGGAGAUGCGGUUGAACGGGAACACCCGCGGUGACUAUGGUAGGGUUCGGGUGCGACAUGAUAUCCGCAAGCCCCUCACAAAGUACGUCAGCAUCGUCCGCGCUAAGGAGCGCCAGGUUUACCUGGUUAGAUAUGAGAAACUUGCUAGAUUUUGUAAGUUCUGUGGUCUGAUUGGUCAUGAUCACAAAGAGUGCGGUCUGGGUAUCCAUGAGGAGAAGGAUCUCAAGUUUGGUGAAUGGAUCUAUGCAGAUGCUCCCAAUAAACCCAGGCAAGAGGAGCGUACUACUAAACCUACUGGAUAUGCGCCAAUGAAGGCUGAUGACAAGGUGCCUGGUAGCUCGAAACCUCAGUAUGCUCCCUAUGACGCCGAAGUGUUGGACACAGCAACGAGCCCGAUCAAGAAAACUAGUGUCAGAGCGGAUGGGGUUUUAGCCCCAAAAAGGAGGCUGGACUUGGAGGAGGCAGGGAAGCCACUGGGUGACGGCUCUGGAGUCCCAAAAACAAUGUUGGCCAUCACUGAUGGUAAGGAAAUUGCUCCGGAGGGGGCUGGCUCUCCUACAUGA
Molecule: ribosomal RNA, 1077 nt
Filed under: Triticum aestivum (bread wheat)
Lineage: Eukaryota; Viridiplantae; Streptophyta; Magnoliopsida; Poales; Poaceae
Description: partial small subunit ribosomal RNA
Source: RNAcentral